Molecule: ribosomal RNA, 432 nt
Filed under: uncultured bacterium
Lineage: Bacteria
Description: partial 16S ribosomal RNA
Rfam family: Bacterial small subunit ribosomal RNA
Source: RNAcentral
AACGAACGCUGGCGGCAUGCCUAACACAUGCAAGUCGAACGAGACCUUCGAGUCUAGUGGCGCACGGGUGCGUAACGCGUGGGAACCUGCCCUUAGGUUCGGAAUAACUCCCCGAAAGGGGUGCUAAUACCGGAUAAUGUCUUCGGACCAAAGAUUUAUCGCCUUUGGAUGGGCCCGCGUUGGAUUAGCUAGUUGGUAGGGUAAAAGCCUACCAAGGCGACGAUCCAUAGCUGGUCUGAGAGGAUGAUCAGCCACACUGGGACUGAGACACGGCCCAGACUCCUACGGGAGGCAGCAGUGGGGAAUAUUGGACAAUGGGCGAAAGCCUGAUCCAGCAAUGCCGCGUGAGUGAUGAAGGCCUUAGGGUUGUAAAGCUCUUUUACCCGGGAUGAUAAUGACAGGACCGGGAGAAUAAGCUCCGGCUAACUCCGU